This 556-nucleotide ribosomal RNA is filed under the name uncultured bacterium. RNAcentral's name for it is "bacterial SSU rRNA". It matches the Rfam family "Bacterial small subunit ribosomal RNA", at positions 346 to 916 of the family's 1533-position model. The record is from RNAcentral.
AGGCAGCAGUGGGGAAUUUUCCGCAAUGGGCGAAAGCCUGACGGAGCAACGCCGCGUGAGGGACGAAGGCCUCUGGGCUGUAAACCUCUUUUCUCAAGGAAGAAGAUCUGACGGUACUUGAGGAAUAAGCCACGGCUAAUUCCGUGCCAGCAGCCGCGGUAAUACGGGAGUGGCAAGCGUUAUCCGGAAUUAUUGGGCGUAAAGCGUCCGCAGGCGGCCCUUCAAGUCUGCUGUUAAAACGUGGAGCUUAACUCCAUCAAGGCAGUGGAAACUGUUGGGCUUGAGUGUGGUAGGGGCAGAGGGAAUUCCCGGUGUAGCGGUGAAAUGCGUAGAUAUCGGGAAGAACACCAGUGGCGAAGGCGCUCUGCUGGGCCAUAACUGACGCUCAUGGACGAAAGCCAGGGGAGCGAAAGGGAUUAGAUACCCCUGUAGUCCUGGCCGUAAACGAUGAACACUAGGUGUCGGGGGAAUCGACCCCUUCGGUGUCGUAGCCAACUCGUUAAGUGUUCCGCCUGGGGAGUACGCACGCAAGUGUGAAACUCAAAUGAAUUGACGG